AUUGAACGCUGGCGGCAUGCCUUACACAUGCAAGUCGAACGGCAGCACGGGUGCUUGCACCUGGUGGCGAGUGGCGAACGGGUGAGUAAUACAUCGGAACAUGUCCUGUAGUGGGGGAUAGCCCGGCGAAAGCCGGAUUAAUACCGCAUACGAUCUACGGAUGAAAGCGGGGGACCUUCGGGCCUCGCGCUAUAGGGUUGGCCGAUGGCUGAUUAGCUAGUUGGUGGGGUAAAGGCCUACAAAGGCGACGAUCAGACGCUGGUCUGAGGGGACGACCAGCCAGACUGGGACUGAGAAACGGCCCAGAUUCCUACGGGAGGCAGCAGUGGGGAAUUUUGGACAAUGGGCGAAAGCCUGAUCCAGAAAGGCCGCGUGUGUGAAGAAGGCCUUCGGGUUGUAAAGCACUUUUGUCCGGAAAGAAAUCCUUGGCCCUAAUACGGUCGGGGGAUGACGGUACCGGAAGAAUAAGCACCGGCUAACUACGU
RNAcentral lists this ribosomal RNA (485 nucleotides) under uncultured bacterium. RNAcentral's name for it is "partial 16S ribosomal RNA". It matches the Rfam family "Bacterial small subunit ribosomal RNA", at positions 29 to 506 of the family's 1533-position model. The record is from RNAcentral.